This 2723-nucleotide ribosomal RNA is filed under the name Klebsiella pneumoniae. RNAcentral's name for it is "bacterial LSU rRNA". It matches the Rfam family "Bacterial large subunit ribosomal RNA". Lineage: Bacteria; Pseudomonadati; Pseudomonadota; Gammaproteobacteria; Enterobacterales; Enterobacteriaceae. The record is from RNAcentral.
GCGAACCGGGGGAACUGAAACAUCUAAGUACCCCGAGGAAAAGAAAUCAACCGAGAUUCCCCCAGUAGCGGCGAGCGAACGGGGAGCAGCCCAGAGUCUGAAUCAGCUUGUGUGUUAGUGGAACGGUCUGGAAAGUCCGACGGUACAGGGUGAUAGUCCCGUACACCAAAAUGCACAGGCUGUGAACUCGAAGAGUAGGGCGGGACACGUGGUAUCCUGUCUGAAUAUGGGGGGACCAUCCUCCAAGGCUAAAUACUCCUGACUGACCGAUAGUGAACCAGUACCGUGAGGGAAAGGCGAAAAGAACCCCGGCGAGGGGAGUGAAAAAGAACCUGAAACCGUGUACGUACAAGCAGUGGGAGCACCUUCGGGUGUGACUGCGUACCUUUUGUAUAAUGGGUCAGCGACUUAUAUUCUGUAGCAAGGUUAACCGUAUAGGGGAGCCGCAGGGAAACCGAGUCUUAACUGGGCGUUAAGUUGCAGGGUAUAGACCCGAAACCCGGUGAUCUAGCCAUGGGCAGGUUGAAGGUUGGGUAACACUAACUGGAGGACCGAACCGACUAAUGUUGAAAAAUUAGCGGAUGACUUGUGGCUGGGGGUGAAAGGCCAAUCAAACCGGGAGAUAGCUGGUUCUCCCCGAAAGCUAUUUAGGUAGCGCCUCGUGAACUCAUCUUCGGGGGUAGAGCACUGUUUCGGCUAGGGGGUCAUCCCGACUUACCAACCCGAUGCAAACUACGAAUACCGAAGAAUGUUAUCACGGGAGACACACGGCGGGUGCUAACGUCCGUCGUGAAGAGGGAAACAACCCAGACCGCCAGCUAAGGUCCCAAAGUCAUGGUUAAGUGGGAAACGAUGUGGGAAGGCACAGACAGCCAGGAUGUUGGCUUAGAAGCAGCCAUCAUUUAAAGAAAGCGUAAUAGCUCACUGGUCGAGUCGGCCUGCGCGGAAGAUGUAACGGGGCUAAACCAUGCACCGAAGCUGCGGCAGCGACACUAUGUGUUGUUGGGUAGGGGAGCGUUCUGUAAGCCUGCGAAGGUGUGCUGUGAGGCAUGCUGGAGGUAUCAGAAGUGCGAAUGCUGACAUAAGUAACGAUAAAGCGGGUGAAAAGCCCGCUCGCCGGAAGACCAAGGGUUCCUGUCCAACGUUAAUCGGGGCAGGGUGAGUCGACCCCUAAGGCGAGGCCGAAAGGCGUAGUCGAUGGGAAACAGGUUAAUAUUCCUGUACUUGGUGUUACUGCGAAGGGGGGACGGAGAAGGCUAUGUUAGCCGGGCGACGGUUGUCCCGGUUUAAGCAUGUAGGCUGGUUGUCCAGGCAAAUCCGGAUAAUCAAGGCUGAGGUGUGAUGACGAGGCACUACGGUGCUGAAGUAACAAAUGCCCUGCUUCCAGGAAAAGCCUCUAAGCAUCAGGUAACAUCAAAUCGUACCCCAAACCGACACAGGUGGUCAGGUAGAGAAUACCAAGGCGCUUGAGAGAACUCGGGUGAAGGAACUAGGCAAAAUGGUGCCGUAACUUCGGGAGAAGGCACGCUGGUGUGUAGGUGAAGCCCCUGCGGGUGGAGCUGAGACCAGUCGAAGAUACCAGCUGGCUGCAACUGUUUAUUAAAAACACAGCACUGUGCAAACACGAAAGUGGACGUAUACGGUGUGACGCCUGCCCGGUGCCGGAAGGUUAAUUGAUGGGGUUAUCCGUAAGGAGAAGCUCUUGAUCGAAGCCCCGGUAAACGGCGGCCGUAACUAUAACGGUCCUAAGGUAGCGAAAUUCCUUGUCGGGUAAGUUCCGACCUGCACGAAUGGCGUAAUGAUGGCCAGGCUGUCUCCACCCGAGACUCAGUGAAAUUGAACUCGCUGUGAAGAUGCAGUGUACCCGCGGCAAGACGGAAAGACCCCGUGAACCUUUACUAUAGCUUGACACUGAACAUUGAGCCUUGAUGUGUAGGAUAGGUGGGAGGCUUUGAAGCGUGGACGCCAGUCUGCGUGGAGCCAACCUUGAAAUACCACCCUUUAAUGUUUGAUGUUCUAACGUUGGCCCCUUACCGGGGUUGCGGACAGUGUCUGGUGGGUAGUUUGACUGGGGCGGUCUCCUCCCAAAGCGUAACGGAGGAGCACGAAGGUUAGCUAAUCCUGGUCGGACAUCAGGAGGUUAGUGCAAUGGCAUAAGCUAGCUUGACUGCGAGCGUGACGGCGCGAGCAGGUGCGAAAGCAGGUCAUAGUGAUCCGGUGGUUCUGAAUGGAAGGGCCAUCGCUCAACGGAUAAAAGGUACUCCGGGGAUAACAGGCUGAUACCGCCCAAGAGUUCAUAUCGACGGCGGUGUUUGGCACCUCGAUGUCGGCUCAUCACAUCCUGGGGCUGAAGUAGGUCCCAAGGGUAUGGCUGUUCGCCAUUUAAAGUGGUACGCGAGCUGGGUUUAGAACGUCGUGAGACAGUUCGGUCCCUAUCUGCCGUGGGCGCUGGAGAAUUGAGGGGGGCUGCUCCUAGUACGAGAGGACCGGAGUGGACGCAUCACUGGUGUUCGGGUUGUCAUGCCAAUGGCACUGCCCGGUAGCUAAAUGCGGAAGAGAUAAGUGCUGAAAGCAUCUAAGCACGAAACUUGCCCCGAGAUGAGUUCUCCCUGAGACUUUAAGUCUCCUGAAGGAACGUUAAAGACGAUGACGUUGAUAGGCCGGGUGUGUAAGCGCAGCGAUGCGUUGAGCUAACCGGUACUAAUGAACCGUGAGGCUUAACC